RNAcentral lists this ribosomal RNA (406 nucleotides) under bacterium enrichment culture clone ALO1_GLFRUDD03GJRCV. RNAcentral describes it as "bacterial SSU rRNA". It matches the Rfam family "Bacterial small subunit ribosomal RNA", at positions 9 to 417 of the family's 1533-position model. The record is from RNAcentral.
GAGUUUGAUCUUGGCUCAGAUUGAACGCUGGCGGCAUGCCUUACACAUGCAAGUCGAACGGCAGCACGGGAGCUUGCUCCUGGUGGCGAGUGGCGAACGGGUGAGUAAUGCAUCGGAACGUAUCCUGGAGUGGGGGAUAACGUGCGAAAGUUACGCUAAUACCGCAUAUUCUGUGAGCAGGAAAGCGGGGGACCUUCGGGCCUCGCGCUCUUGGAGCGGCCGAUGUCGGAUUAGCUAGUUGGUGAGGUAAAGGCUCACCAAGGCGACGAUCCGUAGCAGGUCUGAGAGGAUGAUCUGCCACACUGGAACUGAGACACGGUCCAGACUCCUACGGAGGCAGCAGUGGGGAAUUUUGGACAAUGGGGGCAACCCUGAUCCAGCCAUGCCGCGUGAGUGAAGAAGGCCU